GGAAGUCCCGAGGUCAAAAUGGGAGAUGCCCCCAAGGGUGGUGGAGAAUGACCGAGCUAAGAUCCUGUGGGACUUCCAGAUACAGACAGACAAAAUGGUGGUGGCUAACCAACCGGACAUAGUGGUGGUAGACAAACAGAAGAAGACGGCCGUAGUGAUCGAUGUAGCGGUUCCGAAUGACAGCAAUAUCAGGAAGAAGGAACACGAGAAGCUGGAGAAAUACCAAGGGCUCAGAGAAGAGCUCGAGAGGAUGUGGAGGGUGAAGGUAACGGUGGUCCCCCAGAUCCCGGGAAUAACAUCGGAGAUCUCUGUCCAGAAGAGCGCAGUCCUGGGAACAGCUAAGAUACUGCGCAGGACCCUCAAGCUCCCAGGCCUCUGGUAGAGGACCCGAGCUUGAAGGAUAAACCGCCCGCAGGGGCGUGCUGGGUGUUUUUUUUUUUGUUUUAUAUAUAUGUAUAUAUAUACACAUAUUUAU
Oreochromis aureus is the source of this 475-nucleotide long non-coding RNA. The record is from Ensembl. NCBI's taxonomy places the organism in Eukaryota, Metazoa, Chordata, Actinopteri, Cichliformes, Cichlidae.